CCUACGGGGGGCAGCAGUAGGGAAUAUUGCUCAAUGGGGGAAACCCUGAAGCAGCAACGCCGCGUGGAGGAUGAAGGUCUUAGGAUUGUAAACCCCUUUUGUUAGAGAAGAUAAUGACGGUAUCUAACGAAUAAGCACCGGCUAACUACGUGCCAGCAGCCGCGGUAAUACGGAGGGUGCAAGCGUUACUCGGAAUCACUGGGCGUAAAGAGUGCGUAGGCGGGGUGAUAAGUCAGAUGUGAAAUCCUGUGGCUUAACUAGAGAACUGCAUUUGAAACUGUUACUUUGGAGUGUGGGAGAGGUAGGUGGAAUUCGUGGUGUAGGGGUGAAAUGCGUAGAGAUCAGGAGGAACACUAAUGGCGAAGGCGGCCUGCUGGAAUGUAACUGACGCUGAUGCUCGAAAGCGUGGGGAGCAAACAGGAUUAGAUACCCCAGUAGUC
Molecule: ribosomal RNA, 440 nt
Filed under: uncultured bacterium
Lineage: Bacteria
Description: partial 16S ribosomal RNA
Rfam family: Bacterial small subunit ribosomal RNA
Source: RNAcentral